RNAcentral lists this long non-coding RNA (430 nucleotides) under Polistes fuscatus (common paper wasp). Lineage: Eukaryota; Metazoa; Arthropoda; Insecta; Hymenoptera; Vespidae. The record is from RNAcentral.
GACGAAAUUAAAGCACGAAAAACUAACGGCCGUUGUUUUUAUAAAUAAUCUGACGGAACUGCUUGUGUUUGAGAGAUUACUUUCAGAUAGUCAACAGCAUUACCGCGCUGAGAGUACUAGUUCUAGUCCGAUCACUAAAGUCAAGCAUCGUUUAGCAAGGUUAGUAGUUCGAUUGAUGACCGCUUGGGAACACCGUGUGUUGUUGCCAUAAAUAAAAAAAAAAAAUAUUCGACGGCCAUGGCGCGGUGACAGCACUAGCUUCCGCUCGAUCAUCUGGUCCCAAGCCCAGACAAAGGAGGAGAUUUCAGAGGCGAGGCUAGAAACCUACCCUCGGUAAAGAACAAUAAAAAUGCUCCUGGAAUUAGCAAUAAAGCCUCGGAUUGGACGGAAAUAAUGAUGAUGACAGCACAAGCAAAUAGGAAUGUGCAAA